RNAcentral lists this ribosomal RNA (1493 nucleotides) under Shigella sonnei. RNAcentral describes it as "partial 23S ribosomal RNA". It matches the Rfam family "Bacterial large subunit ribosomal RNA", at positions 1469 to 2925 of the family's 2925-position model. The record is from RNAcentral. Lineage: Bacteria; Pseudomonadati; Pseudomonadota; Gammaproteobacteria; Enterobacterales; Enterobacteriaceae.
GGGACGGAGAAGGCUAUGUUGGCCGGGCGACGGUUGUCCCGGUUUAAGCGUGUAGGCUGGUUUUCCAGGCAAAUCCGGAAAAUCAAGGCUGAGGCGUGAUGACGAGGCACUACGGUGCUGAAGCAACAAAUGCCCUGCUUCCAGGAAAAGCCUCUAAGCAUCAGGUAACAUCAAAUCGUACCCCAAACCGACACAGGUGGUCAGGUAGAGAAUACCAAGGCGCUUGAGAGAACUCGGGUGAAGGAACUAGGCAAAAUGGUGCCGUAACUUCGGGAGAAGGCACGCUGAUAUGUAGGUGAAGUCCCUUGCGGAUGGAGCUGAAAUCAGUCGAAGAUACCAGCUGGCUGCAACUGUUUAUUAAAAACACAGCACUGUGCAAACACGAAAGUGGACGUAUACGGUGUGACGCCUGCCCGGUGCCGGAAGGUUAAUUGAUGGGGUCAGCGCAAGCGAAGCUCUUGAUCGAAGCCCCGGUAAACGGCGGCCGUAACUAUAACGGUCCUAAGGUAGCGAAAUUCCUUGUCGGGUAAGUUCCGACCUGCACGAAUGGCGUAAUGAUGGCCAGGCUGUCUCCACCCGAGACUCAGUGAAAUUGAACUCGCUGUGAAGAUGCAGUGUACCCGCGGCAAGACGGAAAGACCCCGUGAACCUUUACUAUAGCUUGACACUGAACAUUGAGCCUUGAUGUGUAGGAUAGGUGGGAGGCUUUGAAGUGUGGACGCCAGUCUGCAUGGAGCCGGCCUUGAAAUACCACCCUUUAAUGUUUGAUGUUCUAACGUGGACCCGUGAUCCGGGUUGCGGACAGUGUCUGGUGGGUAGUUUGACUGGGGCGGUCUCCUCCUAAAGAGUAACGGAGGAGCACGAAGGUUGGCUAAUCCUGGUCGGACAUCAGGAGGUUAGUGCAAUGGCAUAAGCCAGCUUGACUGCGAGCGUGACGGCGCGAGCAGGUGCGAAAGCAGGUCAUAGUGAUCCGGUGGUUCUGAAUGGAAGGGCCAUCGCUCAACGGAUAAAAGGUACUCCGGGGAUAACAGGCUGAUACCGCCCAAGAGUUCAUAUCGACGGCGGUGUUUGGCACCUCGAUGUCGGCUCAUCACAUCCUGGGGCUGAAGUAGGUCCCAAGGGUAUGGCUGUUCGCCAUUUAAAGUGGUACGCGAGCUGGGUUUAGAACGUCGUGAGACAGUUCGGUCCCUAUCUGCCGUGGGCGCUGGAGAACUGAGGGGGGCUGCUCCUAGUACGAGAGGACCGGAGUGGACGCAUCACUGGUGUUCGGGUUGUCAUGCCAAUGGCACUGCCCGGUAGCUAAAUGCGGAAGAGAUAAGUGCUGAAAGCAUCUAAGCACGAAACUUGCCCCGAGAUGAGUUCUCCCUGACCCUUUAAGGGUCCUGAAGGAACGUUGAAGACGACGACGUUGAUAGGCCGGGUGUGUAAGCGCAGCGAUGCGUUGAGCUAACCGGUACUAAUGAACCGUGAGGCUUAACCUUACAACGCCGAAG